UACGUAGGAUGCAAGCGUUGUCCGGAAUUAUUGGGCGUAAAGAGCGCGCAGGCGGUCUAUCAAGUCAGAUGUAAAAUAUCCCGGCUUAACCGGGAGGGGUCAUUUGAAACUGGUAGACUAGAGUACAGCAGAGGAUAGUGGAAUUCCCGGUGUAGUGGUGAAAUGCGUAGAUAUCAGGAGGAACACCCGAGGCGAAGGCGGCUCUCUGGGUCGUACCUGACGCUGAGGCGCGAAAGCGUGGGGAGCGAACGGG
This 253-nucleotide ribosomal RNA is filed under the name uncultured bacterium. Its description in RNAcentral is "partial 16S ribosomal RNA". It matches the Rfam family "Bacterial small subunit ribosomal RNA", at positions 524 to 776 of the family's 1533-position model. The record is from RNAcentral.